GCCAGGUUGCCCGAGCGGCCAAAGGGAGCGGACUGUAAAUCCGUCGGCGUUGCCUACCAAGGUUCGAAUCCUUGACCUGGCA
This 82-nucleotide transfer RNA is filed under the name Mycobacteriales bacterium. RNAcentral describes it as "tRNA-Tyr". It matches the Rfam family "tRNA". Rfam says of the family: Transfer RNA (tRNA) molecules are approximately 80 nucleotides in length. Their secondary structure includes four short double-helical elements and three loops (D, anti-codon, and T loops). Lineage: Bacteria; Bacillati; Actinomycetota; Actinomycetes; Mycobacteriales. The record is from RNAcentral. RNAcentral also lists the same sequence under 1 other name.